UACGGAGGGGACUAGCGUUGUUCGGAAUUACUGGGCGUAAAGCGCACGUAGGCGGAUUUGUAAGUCAGGGGUGAAAUCCUGGAGCUCAACUCCAGAACUGCCUUUGAUACUGGAGAGCUAGAGUCCGGAAGAGGUGAGUGGAACUGCGAGUGUAGAGGUGAAAUUCGUAGAUAUUCGCAAGAACACCAGUGGCGAAGGCGGCUCACUGGUCCGGUACUGACGCUGAGGUGCGAAAGCGUGGGGAGCAAACAGG
This 253-nucleotide ribosomal RNA is filed under the name uncultured bacterium. RNAcentral describes it as "partial 16S ribosomal RNA". It matches the Rfam family "Bacterial small subunit ribosomal RNA", at positions 524 to 776 of the family's 1533-position model. The record is from RNAcentral.